Molecule: ribosomal RNA, 554 nt
Filed under: uncultured bacterium
Lineage: Bacteria
Description: partial 16S ribosomal RNA
Rfam family: Bacterial small subunit ribosomal RNA
Source: RNAcentral
UGGGGAAUUUUGGACAAUGGGCGAAAGCCUGAUCCAGCAAUGCCGCGUGUGUGAAGAAGGCCUUCGGGUUGUAAAGUACUUUUGUCCGGAAAGAAAUCCUUGGCUCUAAUACAGUCGGGGGAUGACGGUACCGGAAGAAUAAGCACCGGCUAACUACGUGCCAGCAGCCGCGGUAAUACGUAGGGUGCAAGCGUUAAUCGGAAUUACUGGGCGUAAAGCGUGCGCAGGCGGUUUGCUAAGACCGAUGUGAAAUCCCCGGGCUCAACCUGGGAACUGCAUUGGUGACUGGCAGGCUAGAGUAUGGCAGAGGGGGGUAGAAUUCCACGUGUAGCAGUGAAAUGCGUAGAGAUGUGGAGGAAUACCGAUGGCGAAGGCAGCCCCCUGGGCCAAUACUGACGCUCAUGCACGAAAGCGUGGGGAGCAAACAGGAUUAGAUACCCUGGUAGUCCACGCCCUAAACGAUGUCAACUAGUUGUUGGGGAUUCAUUUCCUUAGUAACGUAGCUAACGCGUGAAGUUGACCGCCUGGGGAGUACGGUCGCAAGAUUAAAACUC